This is a non-coding RNA of Nelumbo nucifera (sacred lotus), 1047 nucleotides long. NCBI's taxonomy places the organism in Eukaryota, Viridiplantae, Streptophyta, Magnoliopsida, Proteales, Nelumbonaceae. The record is from RefSeq and is a predicted model, not a curated record.
ACAUGUUUUAUAAUCGUACAGAUUGACAUUUGAAUCAAGACAAAGAGUUCGGCUUCAGUCAAACACCCUCAUUCAGAGUAAUGUUUGCGCAUUUGGAGAACGCGUUACAAGUCCUUCAAAUUGUAAAUUGUGUAAACGGUUGAAGCAUGCGAAGAUGUUUCACGCCGUUAAUUAAUUAAAAUGAGACAUUAUAUUCUCUUCUCCUCUCCUCUUUUUUCGCUUGACGAGACACCAAGUUUCUGAAGCCGAACUCAGUUUCUAUAACUCAGAAGAAAAUGGUGGGUCCCACCCUCUCGCUCCUUUAAAAUCGAGUAAAUGGUCAUUCUCUUCCGAAUUCCGGCAGUGGAGACCGGAGACCACCACACCCGACACCACGAGGUUCGACGUGGCAGAUGAAACCACCGCCUCUAGGAAAUUUGAGCAGCUUGCCGAAAAAGGUAGAGAAGAGAAUCUCCGAAUUCCCGGAAGUUCGACCACAGCCUCCCGUCUUUCAGAUCUGGAAUUCCUCGCUUUUCUUCCGCCCAAAAAAUCGUAAAGAUUGUCGCUAUGGCACCCAAGAGAAAGGUGAAUAGAUACGAUGAGAACUGGCAGAAACAAUGGUACGGGGCUGGGAUAUUUGCUUAAGGAAGUGAAGAAGUGAAAGUUGACAUAGUCAAGAAGCGGGAGAAGAAGAAGGUUCUGAGAAACGUGGAGAAGGCCGGAUUGCUGUCCAAGAUCGAUGAAUUAGGGUGUACUCUGUCUUCCAUCGAGAGAUUGGGGGUUUUGUCCAAGGCAGAGGAGUUUGGCUUGUUGAGCUUGAUUGAGAAAGUGGCGAGCUUCUCUCCGGCGACGUUAGCAUCGGUGGCGUUGUUAUUCUUUGUCGCCGGCGGUAAUGGAUAUUAAAUCGCCGCCGACGGAUAGGGGAGAGAGGGGGAGAAGAGAACGAGUGUCUUGUGACUCUCGUCUGCGACACUCAAAGGGAGAGAAGAAGAGAGGAGAGGAGAAUGGAACCAUGUCUCGUUUUGGUUAAAUAACUAGUGAAACAUCUUCGCAUGCUUCAACCCUUUA